CCUAAGGGAGGCAGCAGUGGGGAAUAUUGCGCAAUGGGCGAAAGCCUGACGCAGCGACGCCGCGUGCGGGAUGACGGUCUUCGGAUCGUAAACCUCCGUCAGCAGGGAAGUACGGUCACUGUGCUAAUCAGCAGUGAAUUUACGGUACCUGCAAGGGACGCACCGGCUAACUCCAUGCCAGCAGCCGCGGUAAUACGGAGGGUGCGAGCGGUAAUCGGAAUUACUGGGCGUAAAGCGCUCGUAGUCGGUAUGUCAAGUCAAGGGUGAAAUCCCCGCGCUCAACGUGGGAACUGCCUUUGAAACUGGCAAACUGGAGUGUGUGAGAGGAUGGUGGAAUGCCAGGUGUAGGAGUGAAAUCCGUAGAGAUCU
This 369-nucleotide ribosomal RNA is filed under the name uncultured bacterium. Its description in RNAcentral is "partial 16S ribosomal RNA". It matches the Rfam family "Bacterial small subunit ribosomal RNA", at positions 338 to 699 of the family's 1533-position model. The record is from RNAcentral.